This 70-nucleotide transfer RNA is filed under the name Pseudomonas sp. HMWF031. Its description in RNAcentral is "tRNA-Gly". It matches the Rfam family "tRNA". From Rfam's summary of the family: Transfer RNA (tRNA) molecules are approximately 80 nucleotides in length. Lineage: Bacteria; Pseudomonadati; Pseudomonadota; Gammaproteobacteria; Pseudomonadales; Pseudomonadaceae. The record is from RNAcentral.
AUAGCUCAGUUGGUAGAGCACGACCUUGCCAAGGUCGGGGUCGCGAGUUCGAAUCUCGUUUCCCGCUCCA